UGCAAGUCGAGCGAAUGGAUUAAGAGCUUGCUCUUAUGAAGUUAGCGGCGGACGGGUGAGUAACACGUGGGUAACCUGCCCAUAAGACUGGGAUAACUCCGGGAAACCGGGGCUAAUACCGGAUAACAUUUUGAACCGCAUGGUUCGAAAUUGAAAGGCGGCUUCGGCUGUCACUUAUGGAUGGACCCGCGUCGCAUUAGCUAGUUGGUGAGGUAACGGCUCACCAAGGCAACGAUGCGUAGCCGACCUGAGAGGGUGAUCGGCCACACUGGGACUGAGACACGGCCCAGACUCCUACGGGAGGCAGCAGUAGGGAAUCUUCCGCAAUGGACGAAAGUCUGACGGAGCAACGCCGCGUGAGUGAUGAAGGCUUUCGGGUCGUAAAACUCUGUUGUUAGGGAAGAACAAGUGCUAUUGAAUAAGCUGG
RNAcentral lists this ribosomal RNA (427 nucleotides) under Bacillus cereus. Its description in RNAcentral is "bacterial SSU rRNA". It matches the Rfam family "Bacterial small subunit ribosomal RNA", at positions 56 to 471 of the family's 1533-position model. The record is from RNAcentral. Lineage: Bacteria; Bacillati; Bacillota; Bacilli; Caryophanales; Bacillaceae.